AGAGUUUGAUCAUGGCUCAGAGUGAACGCUGGCGGCGUGCUUAACACAUGCAAGUCGAACGAGAACGGAUUUUAGCUUGCUAAAAUUGUCAGCUAAGUGGCGCACGGGUGAGUAAUAUAUAGGUAAUGUGCCCCUUACAAAGGAAUAACAGUUGGAAACGACUGCUAAUGCCUUAUAUGCCUCUAUCACAAAAGUGAGCGAGGGAAAGUUUUUUCGGUAAGGGAUCGGCCUGUACGGUAUCAGUUAGUUGGUGAGGUAAUGGCUCACCAAGACAAUGACGCCUAACUGGUUUGAGAGGAUGGUCAGUCACACUGGAGCUGAGACACGGUCCAGACUCCUACGGGAGGCAGCAGUGGGGAAUAUUGCACAAUGGGGGAAACCCUGAUGCAGCAACGCCGCGUGGAGGAUGACACAUUUCGGUGCGUAAACUCCUUUUAUGUGGGAAGAUAAUGACGGUAUCACAUGAAUAAGCUCCGGCUAACUCCGUGCCAGCAGCCGCGGUAAUACGGGGGGAGCAAGCGUUACUCGGAAUCACUGGGCGUAAAGAGCAUGUAGGCUGGUAGAAAAGUUGGAAGUGAAAUCCUGUGGCUUAACCAUAGAACUG
This 604-nucleotide ribosomal RNA is filed under the name uncultured Campylobacterota bacterium. Its description in RNAcentral is "bacterial SSU rRNA". It matches the Rfam family "Bacterial small subunit ribosomal RNA", at positions 8 to 623 of the family's 1533-position model. Lineage: Bacteria; Pseudomonadati; Campylobacterota. The record is from RNAcentral.